GAUGAACGCUGGCGGCGUGCUUAACACAUGCAAGUCGAACGAAGCACCUUGAUUCGAUUCUUCGGAUGAAGAUCUUGGUGACUGAGUGGCGGACGGGUGAGUAACGCGUGGGUAACCUGCCUCAUACAGGGGGAUAACAGUUAGAAAUGACUGCUAAUACCGCAUAAGACCACAGCACCGCAUGGUGCAGGGGUAAAAACUCCGGUGGUAUGAGAUGGACCCGCGUCUGAUUAGGUAGUUGGUGGGGUAACGGCCUACCAAGCCGACGAUCAGUAGCCGACCUGAGAGGGGGACCGGCCACAUUGGGACUGAGACACGGCCCAAACUCCUACGGGAGGCAGCAGUGGGGAAUAUUGCACAAUGGGGGAAACCCUGAUGCAGCGACGCCGCGUGAGCGAUGAAGUAUUUCGGUAUGUAAAGCUCUAUCAGCAGGGAAGAAAAUGACGGUACCUGACGAAGAAGCACCGGCUAAAUACGUG
Molecule: ribosomal RNA, 479 nt
Filed under: uncultured bacterium
Lineage: Bacteria
Description: partial 16S ribosomal RNA
Rfam family: Bacterial small subunit ribosomal RNA
Source: RNAcentral